AGAGUUUGAUCCUGGCUCAGAACGAACGCUGGCGGCAUGCCUAACACAUGCAAGUCGAACGCUUCCGCGGAUUUCGGUCCGGGGAGGAGUGGCGCACGGGUGAGUAGCGCGUGGGAACCUGCCCUGUUGUGGGGGAUAACCGAGGGAAACUUCGGCUAAUACCGCAUGCGCCCCCCGGAUUUUGGUCUGGGGGGAAAGAG
This 200-nucleotide ribosomal RNA is filed under the name uncultured bacterium. Its description in RNAcentral is "partial 16S ribosomal RNA". It matches the Rfam family "Bacterial small subunit ribosomal RNA", at positions 8 to 207 of the family's 1533-position model. The record is from RNAcentral.